RNAcentral lists this transfer RNA (65 nucleotides) under Dipodomys ordii (Ord's kangaroo rat). It matches the Rfam family "tRNA". Rfam says of the family: Transfer RNA (tRNA) molecules are approximately 80 nucleotides in length. Their secondary structure includes four short double-helical elements and three loops (D, anti-codon, and T loops). Lineage: Eukaryota; Metazoa; Chordata; Mammalia; Rodentia; Heteromyidae. The record is from Rfam by way of RNAcentral.
GGUGGCUCAGUGGUAGAGCGCCUGCCUUGCAUGCAUGAGGCCCUGGGUUCCAUUCCUCAGUACCA